This 253-nucleotide ribosomal RNA is filed under the name uncultured bacterium. Its description in RNAcentral is "partial 16S ribosomal RNA". It matches the Rfam family "Bacterial small subunit ribosomal RNA", at positions 524 to 776 of the family's 1533-position model. The record is from RNAcentral.
UACGUAGGGGGCUAGCGUUGUCCGGAUUUAUUGGGCGUAAAGAGCGUGUAGGCGGCCAGAUAGGUCUGCUGUGAAAACUCGAGGCUCAACCUCGAGAUGUCGGCGGAAACCAUUUGGCUAGAGUCCGGAAGAGGAAAGUGGAAUUCCUGGUGUAGCGGUGAAAUGCGUAGAUAUCGAGAGGAACACCUGCGGCGAAGGCGGGUUGCUGGGCUGACACUGACGCUGAUGCGCGAAAGCCAGGGGAGCGAACGGG